UGACGGUUGAUGAAAAUGAAGAUGAUGGAGAUAACGGUUGAUUUGGUAUAAAGCUUGUUGCACUGGUACACACGGUCCCAGUCCCCAGGUUAGGGGAGUUUUGGCGCGCCCGUGAAAAGGUUCAACCCCGCCACAUUCUGUAUGUGUCUGUUCCAAGUCACGAGACGGUAAUGCAGUGUUUGUCGUUUGUUUCUAUAUACUAUAUAAUUAUUAUUUGUUUCUUUCGUUUUUAUUUUGUACAUUAAUCAGGCCGUUAGAUUUUUCGUUUGUUUUACAUUAUUCAUUUCUGGAAUUGAAGACUAUGCAGUAUGAAUUUUACUCAUUGUUGAAGCCCGUACGGGACCUAUAAUUGUUAAUUUAUGUCUCAUUUGGUCCCAUUUGGAGAGCUGUCUCAUUUGCAAUCAUAUCACAUCUUUUUUUAUAUGGAAUACUUUUGAAAUUUGUGGUACGUUGCAAGGAAAAAAAGGGGGGAUAUAGGUACAAAACCUAUAAUGUAAUAGACAUUAACCAGAGUAAAAUACACAACAAC
This 529-nucleotide long non-coding RNA is filed under the name Mytilus galloprovincialis (Mediterranean mussel). Lineage: Eukaryota; Metazoa; Mollusca; Bivalvia; Mytilida; Mytilidae. The record is from RNAcentral.